This is a long non-coding RNA of Helianthus annuus (common sunflower), 1208 nucleotides long. RefSeq lists it as uncharacterized. The transcript has 3 exons. NCBI's taxonomy places the organism in Eukaryota, Viridiplantae, Streptophyta, Magnoliopsida, Asterales, Asteraceae. The record is from RefSeq and is a predicted model, not a curated record.
AAAAAUGGUUUGAUUUUAGUUAAGGAAUCAACAGUUCAACUAGAUUCUCUUAAUGGUAAAAGGAAAAAAAAAACGUAUUUUUUUCAAUCAUCAUCUUGAUUGCUCAUUUUUCCCAUUCAAUAACUGGAGUUGAACUAGAAUCUCCAACGAGCUUUUGUUAUUUUCUUGCUAUUUACUUCGUUUUGGUUUUGGAUUGGGGCUUGUGUGCAACAAAUAUGGAUGGACAUAGGUGAAAAUAAAGCAGAGAAAGAUAGAAUGUCAAUGGAAUUAGAAAGAGAGUGUUUGGAAGUGUACAGAAGAAAGGUUGAUGAGGCUGCAACCGCCAAAGCCCGCCUUCACCAGGUCGUUGGCGCCAACGAAGCCGAACCCUCGUAGCGACUCUUGGUGACCUAACCCUCAUUUUUCUAUAAGUAAAUGGUUUCAAUCAAAGAAGCCAUCAUUGUCAACUUUAUUAUGUGUUCUACCUAAUCUUAAUCAUGUUUUCUUGGCUUAAUUAAUAUUUCAUCCACUUCUUAGCUCUAUUAUUCUUCUCUUUCAAUAUACAGAUAAAAGAAGUACUUUGACUUAGAAACUAAAAUGGGCUAUAUAUAACCUCAGGCCAUGAACGACGACAACGAACACGGUUUAUCACACAGUGUUCCGCCUUUAAUGUUUCACCGGAAUCAUUGUUUUCUGUUAUGUUUAUCACCACCUGUCACCGACCGAUCGACGAUUGCAACUUAACUGACGGAGCUGUCGGAGACUGUAGAAAGAGAGGAUGAUUCGAAGUUACACUCGCUAAGCAAUAGUCAUGGAGUAUGCUGCUGGAGUAGAGCUUUUCGAGUGGAUAUGCCAUGCACGUAAAUUCAGUGAAACGAGGCAAGUUUAAUAAAUGGAAGCACAACUGAUUGGGGAUUAUAAUAGAUGGGAUAGAUAGAACCACAAGAUGGAAAAAAGACCAAUAUGGGGUACCAAGUAUCAAGAUUCUCGGUGUCAAUGGCAAUUUGGUAGUUUCUUAUAAUUCAAGGGUGGAGUUAAGAUUCAAGCACAAUAAUGGAGUUUGGGUUGAUUGGUGUACAGCUUGAAUAAAGUAUGCCACUGUUGACUCUGCUAGAUUUGUUGAAUCUGCUAGAUUUGUUGGAGAUUACCGAUGUAGGGUAAAGUUCUUGUACAAAUAAUCUUAACAUACUAAACAUACAAAUUGAAGGAAAACUCAAAAAGACAAGGUG